GUGAAAACUGUGAUAGGGAAAGUAGACAUUCUUCAUAUUCUUAGAGAGUGGGGACGGUGUAAACCCAUAAAUGGUUAAUGUUGAAACUCACCCUUGAGUUGUAAGCUGAAAUUAUAUGGUUUAUAUAUUAUAUAUAAAUCAUAUAGGUAAGCCGUGCCGGUAUAUAUUAAUUAUACACCGUUAUAAAACGAAGAUAAAAAAAUGGGUGGUACCGCGAUAGACUUUUCGCCCCAAUG
RNAcentral lists this non-coding RNA (236 nucleotides) under Clostridium estertheticum. RNAcentral describes it as "T-box sequence". It matches the Rfam family "T-box leader". Rfam says of the family: Uncharged tRNA acts as the effector for transcription antitermination of genes in the T-box leader family. Lineage: Bacteria; Bacillati; Bacillota; Clostridia; Eubacteriales; Clostridiaceae. The record is from RNAcentral.